Molecule: long non-coding RNA, 444 nt
Organism: Hipposideros armiger (great roundleaf bat)
Lineage: Eukaryota; Metazoa; Chordata; Mammalia; Chiroptera; Hipposideridae
Exons: 3
Source: RefSeq, a predicted model, not a curated record
UGUGAUCAGCUAACCCCCCGGGUCUUGCUCAUGAACGCCUUCUGUCAAGCCAGGCCUCGGCCAUCAGCCACUGGGGCAAUUGAUUUUUUUGAAUGCUCAUGAUUAUCUAUGACUCAGACUCGAAGCUACAAAACAAGGUCUUGCCCUCCUUUCUUGUGUGGCAUCUGCUGAGUGGGUGUGAGGUCUUGGGGGCCUGUUCAGAAGCCAGAGGCAUGGCCGGCCGCUGGUGAGGAGGUCUCCAGCAUGAUUUGAUCCACAAAUAGCAAGAGGAUGGUAACAAAACUCUGUGACCUUUCAUAAGUGUGCAGUGGGGAUAAGAAGAUGAGCAAAGAUAUGCUACGAAAAGAGCAUUUUAGGAAACCUCCAUUCUUCUCUACGUGGGCCUCUCCAUCGGGCUACUUGAAUGUCUUCAGGAUGUGGCACCUGGCUUCCCCCAAAGCAAGU